CAGUCGAACGACUCUGGUAUUGAUUGGUGCUUGCAUCAUGAUUUACAUUUGAGUGAGUGGCGAACUGGUGAGUAACACGUGGGAAACCUGCCCAGAAGCGGGGGAUAACACCUGGAAACAGAUGCUAAUACCGCAUAACAACUUGGACCGCAUGGUCCGAGUUUGAAAGAUGGCUUCGGCUAUCACUUUUGGAUGGUCCCGCGGCGUAUUAGCUAGAUGGUGGGGUAACGGCUCACCAUGGCAAUGAUACGUAGCCGACCUGAGAGGGUAAUCGGCCACAUUGGGACUGAGACACGGCCCAAACUCCUACGGGAGGCAGCAGUAGGGAAUCUUCCACAAUGGACGAAAGUCUGAUGGAGCAACGCCGCGUGAGUGAAGAAGGGUUUCGGCUCGUAAAACUCUGUUGUUAAAGAAGAACAUAUCUGAGAGUAACUGUUCAGGUAUUGACGGUAUUUAACCAGAAAGCCACGGCUAACUACGUGCCAGCAGCCGCGGUAAUACGUAGGUGGCAAGCGUUGUCCGGAUUUAUUGGGCGUAAAGCGAGCGCAGGCGGUUUUUUAAGUCUGAUGUGAAAGCCUUCGGCUCAACCGAAGAAGUGCAUCGGAAACUGGGAAACUUGAGUGCAGAAGAGGACAGUGGAACUCCAUGUGUAGCGGUGAAAUGCGUAGAUAUAUGGAAGAACACCAGUGGCGAAGGCGGCUGUCUGGUCUGUAACUGACGCUGAGGCUCGAAAGUAUGGGUAGCAAACAGGAUUAGAUACCCUGGUAGUCCAUACCGUAAACGAUGAAUGCUAAGUGUUGGAGGGUUUCCGCCCUUCAGUGCUGCAGCUAACGCAUUAAGCAUUCCGCCUGGGGAGUACGGCCGCAAGGCUGAAACUCAAAGGAAUUGACGGGGGCCCGCACAAGCGGUGGAGCAUGUGGUUUAAUUCGAAGCUACGCGAAGAACCUUACCAGGUCUUGACAUACUAUGCAAAUCUAAGAGAUUAGACGUUCCCUUCGGGGACAUGGAUACAGGUGGUGCAUGGUUGUCGUCAGCUCGUGUCGUGAGAUGUUGGGUUAAGUCCCGCAACGAGCGCAACCCUUAUUAUCAGUUGCCAGCAUUAAGUUGGGCACUCUGGUGAGACUGCCGGUGACAAACCGGAGGAAGGUGGGGAUGACGUCAAAUCAUCAUGCCCCUUAUGACCUGGGCUACACACGUGCUACAAUGGAUGGUACAACGAGUUGCGAACUCGCGAGAGUAAGCUAAUCUCUUAAAGCCAUUCUCAGUUCGGAUUGUAGGCUGCAACUCGCCUACAUGAAGUCGGAAUCGCUAGUAAUCGCGGAUCAGCAUGCCGCGGUGAAUACGUUCCCGGGCCUUGUACACACCGCCCGUCACACCAUGAGAGUU
Molecule: ribosomal RNA, 1386 nt
Filed under: Lactobacillus sp.
Lineage: Bacteria; Bacillati; Bacillota; Bacilli; Lactobacillales; Lactobacillaceae
Description: bacterial SSU rRNA
Rfam family: Bacterial small subunit ribosomal RNA
Source: RNAcentral